GGGUCCCAGUCCCUGACUGCAAAAGGAAGCCAAAACUGACAACAACGUCUCCUUCUCUACGGAGGUUUGUAGAAAGGCUGUACAAAAAUCUCACAAGAUGUAUUUCUUCUCGUGGACUGGAGUCCCAAGGUGCUUAAGGGCUCUUCAAUUUGUUAAUGGAAAGAAACACCAUUUACACCGGAUGGCUACAAAGCAACCUUAUUCUGAGAGAGAGGAUCUCAUUCUGUCACCCAGGCUGGAGUGCAUGAUCAUAGCUCACUGCAGCCUCGACCUCCUGGGCUCAAGUGAUCCUCCUGCUCUAGCCUCUCAAGUAGCUAGGACUACAGAUCUUUUCUCAGAAUAGCAGUCUGUAGGCUGUCACCUAAAGUGUCCUGUUUUCAGUGCUGCACCUGCUCUGAGCUUCAGCUUUUUACGAAGACGUCAUGGUGUGCUAUCUGUACUGGGAAACUUUCCCCAGCAUCAGCCAGCUCCUGAAGAUAAUAUUGUCUGCUAGAGAUUGUCAUGUAUGUGGAUUGAAUCUCUUUAUCUUCAUGCUCUUUCUGCCUGAAGACAAGAGCAACUCCACUUUACCACCAGGUGCAGCAGCAACAGCCUUCUAUAGUGUCUCCAUGCCAGCCUCUAGCAUCUAGAUGUUCCCAGCUUUCUACAGUGCCCUGUAAGCUCGCACUCUCUCCCUCUGCCAGCGUCACAGGAGGGUCGGUUAGUGACACAUCCCUGAUCUUUCAACCUCCUCCCUCAACCGUGUAAUGUCCAAGUCCUAUAAUAGAUCCUUCAAUCUAUGAUGCUUAUCGUGGUUCUGCUUCCCAAUUCAAACCCUGGCUGAGACGUGGUCUUAUGAGGGGACAUUGCAUGGUGUGGUGAAAGUCACCCCACAGUAUCCCCAUGGUAAACAUAAUAGAAUAGCUGUGAAUUUCUCUUAGCCCGGGACACGAUCAAAACUGGAUUGUCUGCCAGGCUGAAGAGACCCCAAGGUGAACAAAAAAGGAUGGAAGCUGCUCUCUGGCCUGCCAGCCAAUCACAUAUUCCUUUAAGACUACCUACCAUGCCAGUUCCAAACUCAGCCGCAGGCAGCCAUCAGGUACUUAUAAAGUAGCUGUCAUGACUGGGCAACUGAAUUUUAAAUUUUAAUGAAGUUUAAAUGUAAAAACUGAUAACUUGAGUCUGUUAUUGAAAAACCUU
Molecule: long non-coding RNA, 1179 nt
Filed under: Pan troglodytes (chimpanzee)
Lineage: Eukaryota; Metazoa; Chordata; Mammalia; Primates; Hominidae
Description: lincRNA
Source: RNAcentral